This is an RNA transcript of Carya illinoinensis, 1733 nucleotides long. RefSeq lists it as uncharacterized. Lineage: Eukaryota; Viridiplantae; Streptophyta; Magnoliopsida; Fagales; Juglandaceae. The record is from RefSeq and is a predicted model, not a curated record. The transcript has 4 exons.
ACAAGAAGCUGCGUGCGCGAGCAUCGCUCUUGUCAACAAUGAACCAAACCAUUCAAUCUCCUCAACAACGAUAAUGGAUAGGCACAUCCAAAUCUUCCUUCACAGGCUAUCCUUCGCCUCCAUCACCAUAGCCACCCUCACCCUUCUCCUCCUUUUUCUCCAAACCCCGCAGACCUGCGUCCCCCCCAACUCCCCUCCCAAACCCCACCUCAAAUUCCCCAGGUCCACCUGCGACUCCUCCCCACGUGAGCUCGUCCCCCUCGACAAGAAGAACCGCCGCCUCUGGUCCUCCAGGGCCUGGAAGUCCCAAGUCUCUUCCUUUUCUCACUUCUUCACCUCAAUCCGCCAUCUGGGUCUCCUCCAUAACCACUCCAAAGUCCUCUGUGUCUCCGCCGGGGCCGGCCACGAGGUCAUGGCCCUCUCCAAAGUCGGCAUUUCGGACGUAACGGGUGUCGAUUUGGUUGACUCGCCGCCUCUGGUGAGCCGGGCGGAUCCGCAUGACUUGCCGUUUUUCGAUGGUGCGUUUGAUCUGGUGUACACUGGGCAUUUGGAGGAGGCUCUGUUCCCGGCGAGGUUCAUUUCAGAGAUGGAGAGGUCGGUGAGGGAUAAUGGGGUGUGUGUGGUAGUUGUGCAAGAGUGUGGGCAUGAGGAGGUGAGGGAGAUUGCGGAUUUGUUUAGGCAUUCUUCUUUUGUUGGCGCGGCGAAUGUCAGUUUGAUUGGAUUGAGAAUGACAAGGAUUGUAAUGAGAACUAUAACUUGCUGCCUUGCUGGUCCUUCCAUGGAGCGAGACCCAAGUUACGCAUAGUUCUUUCAGCCGAAUUAAGAAAUAUGAAUCAGUUUUAGUGGAUUGGAAUGAUCUAAGGGUCUCAGUAUCCAUAAUUUUGACACUUGGACUCCCUGAGUUUUAUCCUAUGGUUUUGCAAAGAAUAGGUUCGAUGAAGAGGGCUUGAAUAUCAGUGGCAGGGUACAUUAUGAAAAAGUGGGGCUCAUUACUGCACUGUUUAUUCACAUAGACUGGACUCUGUAUCUCUGAUAUUUGCAAAUAUUUAAACACUCUUACGGAGCCUGCUGACUGGCCUGCUAAAUUAGAUAUCGCCAAAGGCACGGAUUUCGGCAUGCUACAUUAAAGGCUUUCUUUCAGGUUUUCAUAUCAUACUUGAAGCAGGGGGACUGUGCAGGAUUAAUCAAGAUUACAGUUCUGAAUAACAUUUGUGGAAACAGACUUGGGAAUGGGCAUAAUAUUCACGGUUUAACUGGGUGAAGCUUUUUAGAGAGGAGCUGUCCAUCUCCAGAAAAUGAUAUUUUCAACAUUUUCGGAAUGUAGUUAUGGCUUGCGAUAGCAAGUCAUUCGGGCAUCUUGAAUUCGAUACUAAUUAGAGAAAAUCCAUAGUUUUGAUACUUUUAUUCUGCUCAGGAAUUUCGUUGUUCCUGCAGUCAGGUUUAGCCCCGCGGCACCCAGCAAAAGAAGAGAAGAAGCACUCUUUUCUUUUGAGUAAUUGGUGCCUCCAACGGCAUAAUGAUGGUUACCGUUCAUAGUAUUUUCUGGUUAUUUUUAGGAAUUUUAGUUGGUGCUUAGGGAGUACUGUUAGUCACUCAAAUCUCCUGCCGUCUGUAAUUUAAGAGUGGCAAAUCAUGUUUUUGCAUUGUGUUUGUGUAGUAUCAAGUCAUGAACAUUAUACUAUAUAGGUCAACCUAAACCCAACUCAUUAAGCUAAACUUAUCAAACUUCUAAA